GUUGACUCACAGAGGGGCUGGGUUGAUAAUAUCGGUUUAUUAGUCUUUACCGUACUUCGACUAAUUUACAGAUUGUCCUAAACGUUUAAGUCGGCUACAUGUGAAAAAUUGAAAGAUUCAACGGAGCCUACAGACCCAUAAAAUGCUUGCGAACUGACACGGUGACCCGGGUCGGGAGUGGUUUAGAGACAAACCCUAGUUCUUCGUACCAGUUUACCCAGUUCUUGUGUCCAAACUCAUUGAUUCUCGAUACCCCAGCAUCCGUGACUACCGAUAUGGGUAUGGUUUGUAGUGCAGUGUAAUAUAUAGGUAUAAUAUACCUCAAGAACUCGUGCUGAGAAAUCAAUGCUGUGCUACGGACGUACCGCAUAUAUCAUAAUGUAGCUCAUCUCUGUAUAAUUGAAUCUUCAAAAAUUACCCAAAAUCGAUCUUACAUCAUUAAGUUGUCUUAAAAUCAGUAUAUUAUCGAUGCGUGAAAUUUUCAUCAUUACAAGAUUGAUGUUUUUUUCCUAAUUUUUUGUAUCAGGCUAAAUUUCUUAUUAUUUGACUCCGAAAUUGGCAUUUUUUACCAAGUUAUAACAAUUCAAAUCGCUGCUUACCAUUUCAGUUUAUAUUAGCUCGGGAUGAUCGUUGACCUCGACUAUCUUUAAACUGCUUCGUUUUAUCGAACACUGAAGUUGACAUCCUAAAAGCCAGCAUAUAUAGGUAGCCUGCCCAGCUGUCAUACCCACCUCCACCUCGGCCCAGGGUUUCUAUAAAACUACCGAUAUGAAGGUUUGCGACAGAAGUGCUGUUUAACAAUCAAUUACUAUGUAAAUCUGUAAGUGAAUCCUACUGUCUCUACCUACUCCUCAUAAGACAAACGACAACCCCUAAAUUUGGGGUGACGAGUACUAUGAUUGAGGCAUCGAUAUGUAUUUUAGACAAUAUAUUAUUGAUCAUUCAUUCAUUGGUAAUAUUAGGCCAUUAAUUUCAGAAAUCAAAUUUUAACGUCUGAGUUGUAACCCGAAAAAAACGGGUUGGAAUUAAAAUUUGACCACACAGGACGAGCUGCGAAGUUUUUUCUUUCUUUUUUUGUCACAAGUAACUUGUUUUUGACAUAAUUAUUCGGUAAAGAUAUUAAUUUUUUUUUCAAUUUCAAGUUUGAUGAUCUUGAAAACUAUUUGUAUAAAGGUAUAAGUGUACCUACAACAUAUGUCGUAUAGCAGUUAGCUAUAAAUUGAAGAAUUCUUAGAAAACAUCGGACAUAGAAUUACAUCACCAUAAACACUAUUUAUUAUCAUAGAUACACUUGUAUCAAUAGGCAAUGAGGCAUCAAUGACUGCAACCAUGAAGAAUCGAUGAUGAACAUAAUAGAAAAUUCAUUAUUUUUGGUUUGGUCCUUGAAAUUGUUGAUAACAUGAAGGAAGGCAGGGCAAAACGGGGCAGCGGGACAAAAUAAGGUGCCCCAAAAACUUUAUAAACAUCACUCUGGAUUAUAAAAAUGUAUUUUUUAUAUCUAAUUUCGAAGAAAUAUUGAUGCUAAUAAAGAUAUAUCAAUAUAUUGUAAUGUAAAGCCCAAUGAAAUGAAUGAAAUAGAUGCCGAGAGAUAAAUCUUUGGAAUAAAAUGCUGUAUUCUUUAAAAAUGCGGCUUAUUUGUCAGAAAUCCAGUUUCAGACUGACUAUCGUUGUUUACAAAAAGAAAUUCAAAGUUGAAAAACAAAAACGUGUGUCAAAUAAUUGAAUGUAAUUUAGGGGUAGGUUUAGGAGGCAGAUAUUAAUCAAAAGGGCGUUGCCCUAAAAAUAUUACGAUAUCUAUGAUGGUAAUAACUAAAUGUUAGCAUAAUUUUUAUUAUUAAUAUCCAAUGAAAUGUUUGUUAAUUUUUUUUCGCACGGUAACUGAAAAUCUUUCUUAUUUACUUCGAAUACAAAUAAGAAAAAGAAGUUUCAUCGUAUUUUAGUUUCACAAAGCUCGGGCAUUUCUAAUAUACCCGAUAUUAAUAAUUAAUUUAUAACAAUUAAUUGAUAUAUUACAAUAAUUAUUAUAAAUAAUUCAGCGCUAAUGGGAUUUUCGUGUUUCAGCAAAUGAUGGUCGCACUAUCACUUUCGUCCAAAAUGAAAUGACAAAAAGAAACAUAUAAUAAUAAUAAUUCGUAAGGUGAUGUAAGAGCGCAAACAAUGAGUCAGAAAACGAUGUCGUGCAGUAAUUGUUCAAGUCUUAUUUGUUAGUGGUCAAAAUUUAAAUCAAUCCUCAUUAUAUUCAAAAUCUCUGGUUAUCCUACCCCUUUCAAAUGAUAGGGUAAGUAAAUUGCGAGGAAAUCAUAUUGUCCCAUGGUACAAAGAGCAAACGAUUCGAUUCCCAAUCCACACCUGUUAAAAUUUUUGAUAGGCAACAUACUAUAUAUGAAACAAAGGUUUGUUUAUUUUUCAAUAAAGGGAAAAGAAAUAGU
Molecule: long non-coding RNA, 2429 nt
Organism: Athalia rosae (coleseed sawfly)
Lineage: Eukaryota; Metazoa; Arthropoda; Insecta; Hymenoptera; Athaliidae
Exons: 2
Source: RefSeq, a predicted model, not a curated record